UGGAAGUGUCCUGUUGGUCUGGUCCGAUUUUUGUGUGAGAACUCAAAUCAUCCCAGCUCGGAGGGCACUUUCUUCAGUUCGACACCCCUCCCCUCGCAGUUUCAUCGGUGGAUCGAG
RNAcentral lists this small RNA (117 nucleotides) under Rhodococcus sp. 1168. RNAcentral's name for it is "Actinobacteria sRNA Ms_IGR-7". It matches the Rfam family "Actinobacteria sRNA Ms_IGR-7". Lineage: Bacteria; Bacillati; Actinomycetota; Actinomycetes; Mycobacteriales; Nocardiaceae. The record is from Rfam by way of RNAcentral.